RNAcentral lists this ribosomal RNA (117 nucleotides) under Actinomadura citrea. The record is from RNAcentral. RNAcentral also lists the same sequence under 2 other names. Lineage: Bacteria; Bacillati; Actinomycetota; Actinomycetes; Streptosporangiales; Thermomonosporaceae.
UUCGGUGGUUUUGGCGAGGGGGAAACACCCGGUCCCAUCCCGAACCCGGAAGUUAAGCCCUUCAGCGCCGAUGGUACUGCAUGGGAGACCGUGUGGGAGAGUAGGACACCGCCGGAC